RNAcentral lists this ribosomal RNA (253 nucleotides) under uncultured bacterium. Its description in RNAcentral is "partial 16S ribosomal RNA". It matches the Rfam family "Bacterial small subunit ribosomal RNA", at positions 524 to 776 of the family's 1533-position model. The record is from RNAcentral.
UACAGAGGGUGCGAGCGUUAAUCGGAAUUACUGGGCGUAAAGCGUGCGUAGACGGUUAUCUAAGUCGGAUGUGAAAGCCCCGGGCUCAACCUGGGAAUUGCCUUCGAUACUGUAGAGCUUGAGACCGGAAGAGGUAAGUGGAACUGCGAGUGUAGAGGUGAAAUUCGUAGAUAUUCGCAAGAACACCAGUGGCGAAGGCGGCUUACUGGUCCGGUUCUGACGCUGAGGCGCGAAAGCGUGGGGAGCAAACAGG